AACGAACGCUGGCGGCAUGCCUAACACAUGCAAGUCGAACGAGACCUUCGGGCCUAUUGGCGCACGGGUGCGGACCGCGGGGGGGCCUGCCCUUAGGUUCGGUAUACCUCAGAGAAAUUUGAGCUCAUACAGCAUGAUGUCUUCGGACCAACGAUUUAUCGCCUUUGGGUGGGCCCGCGUUGGUUUCGCGGGUUGGUGGUGUACAGGCCUACCAAGGCGACGAUCCAUAGCUGGUCGGAGAGGAGGAUCAGCCACACUGGGACUGAGACACGGCCCAGACUCGGACGGGACGGAGCAGUGUGGAAUAUUGGAGGAGGGGCGAAAGCCUGAUCUAGCAACGCCGGGGGAGUGGGGAAGGGGGUAGGGUUGUAAAGCUGUUUUACCCGAGAUGAGAAUGACGGUAACGGGAGAAGAAGCACCGGCUAACUCCGUG
RNAcentral lists this ribosomal RNA (433 nucleotides) under uncultured bacterium. RNAcentral's name for it is "partial 16S ribosomal RNA". It matches the Rfam family "Bacterial small subunit ribosomal RNA", at positions 28 to 507 of the family's 1533-position model. The record is from RNAcentral.